CCGCCCCUAGCUCAAUUGGUUAGAGCACCGAGCUUAUACCUCGGCGGUUCCUGGUUCGAUUCCAGGGGGGCGGA
RNAcentral lists this transfer RNA (74 nucleotides) under bacterium. RNAcentral's name for it is "tRNA-Ile". It matches the Rfam family "tRNA". Rfam says of the family: Transfer RNA (tRNA) molecules are approximately 80 nucleotides in length. Their secondary structure includes four short double-helical elements and three loops (D, anti-codon, and T loops). The record is from RNAcentral.